AGCUAAAUAGUUUAAUAAAAACAUUAAUUUUGUAAAUUAAAGAUAAUAGAAAAUUUUUAGCUU
This 63-nucleotide transfer RNA is filed under the name Fopius arisanus. Lineage: Eukaryota; Metazoa; Arthropoda; Insecta; Hymenoptera; Braconidae. The record is from Rfam by way of RNAcentral.